Pezoporus flaviventris is the source of this 983-nucleotide long non-coding RNA. RefSeq lists it as uncharacterized. NCBI's taxonomy places the organism in Eukaryota, Metazoa, Chordata, Aves, Psittaciformes, Psittacidae. The record is from RefSeq and is a predicted model, not a curated record. The transcript has 2 exons.
GACUAAGUCAUGGAAAGGCUGUCAUAGGAUUGAGACUUUCUGAACAAUCUUGGUGAAACUACAGUGUUGCAGGGACUGUCUUGUGACCAGACACAGAAACCUUUUUCUGACUCAAGGAUUAAACAUCUUUGAGGGUUUGAGGGAAGAUGGGUUUAAGAUCUUGCCUAUGGAGCCAACAUGAAAGUUGGAAUGGACACAUUGGCUACAACUAUAGGGGCAUUCAUGCCAUUUGAAAUGGCUGUAGGAUUGCAGGCUGUAAUAUACAAAUACUUUAUGACAACUACUCAGUGUGGGGCAGGGAAUUUGGGGAAAUAAGAAAUAGUACAGUCCUGAGUCACUAGUCACCAAGUCAUGGCAGGUGGUUAGCAUAAAAAGUACCUCUGACUGCACAGGAGCAAUCAGGAGACAUUCAUGUGUACUCCUGCAAUUAUACAGCAUAACCAGUGAUGAAGCAAAUAUUUAUAGGGCUUGGUAAGUAUUUGGCUGGAUUUGUAGACAGGUGUCUAAGGUACACCAAGACAGAUCAAAUGGAUCAUUUUCUGAAAAUACAGGUGUCUCUGUUGCUUAAAGCAGCAACCUUGAUUAACUGGUUAAACUAUGAGAUUAUCAUAUUUAGGCAAACAAAAACCCAUAGUGACACCUUCCUGUAAGUACCACUGUGUUUCUAGUUCCAGAAGUACUUGGAAGCAUUCUGUGCCAUGAGCAGACUGGGCAAUUAACUGCUGCCAUUAAUGCCCUUAGCAGCUCUUUGCCUAAGGAGAAUUAUACUCAUCCUUGCUUCUCUACCUUCUUUUCGACAGGAGGCAAGAAGAAUGCUUCCCAGAGGGUAGUGUUGUAUUGAGAUUCUAACUGCCUUGUCUGCCACGUAUUGCAGCGUAGAAACAAGCUUCCACAACUGCAUGACAAAAUACCUCUGCUUUCUGGUAUGAUCCUGGAAUAAGUGCAUCCUGACAUAACUGACUUGAAAUAAACAGAACUGAAUG